AUUGCCCUAGUAACGGCGAGUGAAGCGGCAACAGCUCAAAUUUGAAAUCUGGCUUUCGGGUCCGAGUUGUAAUUUGUAGAGGAUGAUUUUGGUUAGGUACCUUCCGAGUUCCUUGGAACAGGACGCCUUAGAGGGUGAGAGCCCCGUACGGUUGGAUGCCGAGCCUCUGUAAAUCUCCUUCGACGAGUCGAGUAGUUUGGGAAUGCUGCUCUAAAUGGGAGGUAAAUUUCUUCUAAAGCUAAAUACCGGCCAGAGACCGAUAGCGCACAAGUAGAGUGAUCGAAAGAUGAAAAGCACUUUGAAAAGAGGGUUAAAUAGUACGUGAAAUUGUUGAAAGGGAAGGGCUUGUGACCAGACCUUUGCCUUGCGGAUCAUCCGGUGUUCUCACCGGUGCACUCCGCUUGGUUGAGGCCAGCAUCAGUUUUGGCGGCGGGAUAAAGACUUCAGGAACGUGACUCCCCCGGGAGUGUUAUAGCCUGCUGUGUAAUACCGCCGCUGGGACUGAGGACCGCGCUUCGGCUAGGAUGCUGGCAUAAUGGUCAUCAGCCACCCGUCUUGAAACACGGACCAAGGAGUCGAACAUUUAUGCGAGUUUUUGGGUGUUAAACCCUCAAGCGUAAUGAAAGUGAACGGAGGUGAGAGCCCUUACGGGUGCAUCAUCGACCGAUCCUGAUGUCUUCGGAUGGAUUUGAGUAAGAGCAUAACUGUUCGGACCCGAAAGAUGGUGAACUAUGCGUGGAUAGGGUGAAGCCAGAGGAAACUCUGGUGGAGGCUCGCAGCGGUUCUGACGUGCAAAUCGAUCGUCAAAUCUGCGCAUGGGGGCGAAAGACUAAUCG
RNAcentral lists this ribosomal RNA (836 nucleotides) under Microdochium albescens. RNAcentral describes it as "eukaryotic LSU rRNA". It matches the Rfam family "Eukaryotic large subunit ribosomal RNA", at positions 74 to 937 of the family's 3401-position model. Lineage: Eukaryota; Fungi; Ascomycota; Sordariomycetes; Xylariales; Microdochiaceae. The record is from RNAcentral.